CCUACGGGAGGCUGCAGUGGGGGAUAUUGCACAAUGGGGGGAACCCUGAUGCAGCGCCGCCGCGUGGGUGAAGAAGCGCCUCGGCGCGUAAAGCCCUGUCAGCAGGGAAGAAAAUGACGGUACCUGAAAAAGAAGCCCCGGCUAACUACGUGCCAGCAGCCGCGGUAAUACGUAGGGGGCAAGCGUUAUCCGGAUUUACUGGGUGUAAAGGGGGCGCAGACGGCGAUGCAAGCCAGGAGUGAAAGCCCGGGGCCCAACCCCGGGACUGCUCUUGGAACUGCGUGGCUUGAGUGCAGGAGGGGCAGGCGGAAUUCCUGGUGUAGCGGUGAAAUGCGUAGAUAUCAGGAGGAACACCGGUGGCGAAGGCGGCCUGCUGGACUGCAACUGACGUUGAGGCCCGAAAGCGUGGGGAGCAAACAGGAUUAGAUACCCCUGUAGUC
Molecule: ribosomal RNA, 440 nt
Filed under: uncultured bacterium
Lineage: Bacteria
Description: partial 16S ribosomal RNA
Rfam family: Bacterial small subunit ribosomal RNA
Source: RNAcentral